AUUCCAGCUCCAAUAGCGUAUAUUAAAGUUGUUGCAGUUAAAAAGCUCGUAGUUGGAUUUCUGGCGUCGCCGCCCGGUUGGCCUCGAAAGGGGUAUGUACUGGGGCGCGCGUUGCCAUCCUCGGGGGAAGGUCGUCUGGCAUUAAGUUGUCGGACGGUCGACGCUCGUCGUUUACUGUGAACAAAUUAGAGUGUUCAAAGCAGGCUUAGGCCGUUGAAUACAUUAGCAUGGAAUAAUGAGAUAGGACUUUGGUGGUCUAUUUUGUUGGUUUGCACGCCGAAGUAAUGAUUAAUAGGGGCGGUUGGGGGUAUUCGUAUUCAAUUGUCAGAGGUGAAAUUCUUGGAUUUAUGGAAGACGAACUACUGCGAAAGCAUUUACCAAGGAUGUUUUCAUUA
This 395-nucleotide ribosomal RNA is filed under the name Pseudochattonella sp. Its description in RNAcentral is "partial small subunit ribosomal RNA". It matches the Rfam family "Eukaryotic small subunit ribosomal RNA", at positions 582 to 975 of the family's 1831-position model. Lineage: Eukaryota; Dictyochophyceae; Florenciellales. The record is from RNAcentral.